UUGCUGAUGGCUGAAAUUUGACCAGAUCUUGCAAAUCAGUAGAAAUCUGGAAGACGUGGCUGUAGAACUGCUGGACUGAAUUCUUCAGGCCAGAAAUGUCUCUGGAAUGCGACCUGAGCGUUCCGUUCAUCUGCCUGACACAGUUCCACAGGCUGCUGACCUGGCUCUGCAACCUCUGCCACCUCUCCUCCAGCUGACUGCAGCAAUGAGCCACGGGGUGCUGGGGGGACGGCAGGGUGUCCACUGUCCUUUCUUGCUCACCCACCUUAGUGAACCUACCCAUGCCAGCGUUUUCACCUGCUCUACAAUUGCUCAUUUCCUUUUGAAGAUGAGUCACAUCAUUUUCUGUGUGGUUUAAUUGAGAAUAAAGAAAACUAAAAUCCUGUUGAAGUUUCUGGAUGGUUUGUUCGGUUUCUUGAAACUUCCUGUGCAUCGUGUCGUUGAGAGAUUUCAAAAGGUGCAGGCUGUCGCGUACUGCGCGGUCUUCCCUGUUUGGCAAGGCACCUUCCAUCCCAUGAGGCUUUCCCUGGAUGUUCAGCAGGCAAAUGUCUUCAACAACUUGAACUUUGUCCUUCAGGUGGUUUAAUUCCAUCAUGACCCGUUCAUCUCCUGACCCUGACACUCCUGGCAGGGCUGCUGCCCCUGGGGGACUGAGCUCUGCACCAGUGUUAUUGGUCAUCUGUAGGAGAACGCUCCCCAGACGGUCUUCCAGAGACUGUAUUUUCUGAUCAACAAGCUGCUUCAAGUCACCCACCUCUCCAUUAAUGGCGCCCCGAAGGGUUUCCUCAAUGUAAAAGCAAUGUUCUUCAGCGUUCUUCUCCGUCACAUUGAUCCUUGCAUCGAGUUCAUUCCAUUUUGCAUCAAAAUCCACAUCUGGCUCUGGAACUAUAAGGCGGUCAAACUCAUUGUCCAGUCUUCCAUUCAGCAUUCUGGUGGCUUCAGCAACUCUCUCGAUUUUCUGGUCCAAUGUCUUGAUCUGUUGACCAAUGUCACCAUUCUUUUCACUGUCGCAGCAAUUUGCCUGGGCUGAAGGCUCCUGUAGCCGGGCUCGGAGGUUAUUUAUUUCUUUUCUCAGGCUUGUUUCCUUCUCCCCUAUGAGCUCUAUCACUCCCAGGUAGCUGCUCCCAUAGUCAUCACACUGCUGCUGGAGGCCAGUGAGCUUGUACUCACAUGAGUUUUUCAGGUCAGCCAGCUUUCUGUCCAUGCCCUCCAUGAGCUCCUCUCUCAGGGCGUCGAUCUUACUGUCCACAUAGGCUUGGUAGAGUUCGUUGGUUGUCAUGGUCACCGUCGGGCCCUGAGCUGCUUCCUGGAGCUGUCUGAGCUGCCCUUCGUAGCCCUUCACUUUUCCAUCCAGCUCUUCCAGCUUGUCACUUUUGUUCUUUAGAGUAUCUUUGACUUCAGCCAAUUCAGACUUGAUGUCCUUCAUGCCAGAUUCCUUAGUGUUGAAGACACCAGGACUCUGGCCCGUUUCUGUGUCUCCACUAACAGUGGUGUCAGGCUUGGGGUGCUGGCUGCUGAGCCCUGGUGCCCGUGUUCUACUGGCAUCAUCCUGAGUGGCAUGUUUGAGAUUUUCACUCACUCCAGCAAGGGAAGACUGGAGGUCAAGAACCGUCCUUGUGAGUCGAAGAACC
RNAcentral lists this long non-coding RNA (1631 nucleotides) under Homo sapiens (human). Its description in RNAcentral is "HSALNT0247045". Lineage: Eukaryota; Metazoa; Chordata; Mammalia; Primates; Hominidae. The record is from RNAcentral.